Oryzias melastigma (Indian medaka) is the source of this 507-nucleotide long non-coding RNA. RefSeq lists it as uncharacterized. The transcript is spliced from 3 exons. NCBI's taxonomy places the organism in Eukaryota, Metazoa, Chordata, Actinopteri, Beloniformes, Adrianichthyidae. The record is from RefSeq and is a predicted model, not a curated record.
AAGUUAUGAACUGACCAAUCAGAUGCCUAAUUAAAAGCAUGUGGCUCCUGCUGGCCCCGCCUCGAACGUGUGAUUGACAGAUUCCUCCGAGCCCCUUUCAGUAGGAGGGGUGUGGGCUUCGAACAAGCCAGAACAAGCUCACUCCUGAUUGGUUGACAGUACUUCCUCUAAAAACGUGACUCAGACCGACUGAAUCCCUACUGAAGAGUUGCAAUCGCAGUAGACCUACCAGGAAAUGACGGCGAAGGGUCUGGCCUGAUUUCGCGAGGGUGAAAGGUCAGAUUUGCAUCCCUGAUGGCUUUUCCAUGAGGACAGAAAGCGUCAAACGUGCGGCGGACCACCAGUAUGAAGCAGGAAAAGGGGUUCUAUUACAGUUAAGGCUGGAGAGCAGAGAAGACGCAGGUGGACGUACCUGAAAGGAUGGAGGCUGAGGGAGAAGAGCGACUCUGGCAGCUCACAUGCCGUCCACUGGAGCGAUGCUCUGCAUUCAGAUGAGGUCCAGAGGGC